Non-coding RNA from Gossypium arboreum, 146 nucleotides. The record is from Rfam. Lineage: Eukaryota; Viridiplantae; Streptophyta; Magnoliopsida; Malvales; Malvaceae.
UAUUAAAAUUUUUAUCCGUUUUUACUAUUAAAAUUUGAUGUGGCUGAUGAAAUAACCAAAUUAUUACACAUGACAUGCCACGUGUACCUUUAUGAUGAUAUACAUAGACUAGUUUUUAAUAGUAAAAAUAAAUUGAAUUUUUAACA